GGGGAAUUUUCCGCAAUGGGCGAAAGCCUGACGGAGCAAUACCGCGUGAGGGAGGAAGGCUCUUGGGUUGUAAACCUCUUUUCUCAGGGAAUAAGAACUGAAGGUACCUGAGGAAUCAGCAUCGGCUAACUCCGUGCCAGCAGCCGCGGUAAUACGGAGGAUGCAAGCGUUAUCCGGAAUGAUUGGGCGUAAAGCGUCCGCAGGUGGUUUAUCAAGUCUGCUGUCAAAGAGUUUGGCUCAACCAAAUAAAGGCAGUGGAAACUGACAGACUGGAGUGCGGUAAGGGCAGAGGGAAUUCCUGGUGUAGCGGUGAAAUGCGUAGAGAUCAGGAAGAACACCGGUGGCGAAAGCGCUCUGCUGGGCCGUAACUGACACUGAGGGACGAAAGCUAGGGGAGCGAAUGGGAUUAGAUACCCCU
RNAcentral lists this ribosomal RNA (418 nucleotides) under uncultured cyanobacterium. RNAcentral describes it as "bacterial SSU rRNA". It matches the Rfam family "Bacterial small subunit ribosomal RNA", at positions 356 to 789 of the family's 1533-position model. Lineage: Bacteria; Bacillati; Cyanobacteriota. The record is from RNAcentral.